UUUACGAUAUGUGGAUUGGUCGAUUGCUUGAUGAGACUGUCACUUAUCUUGCCGUGAGUAUAGAGAUUGAUAUUGUAUGAUGAGAGUUGGCUUGUGAUGGGCAGUAUUGCUUGAUGAGAUCACCGUUUACUUUGCAUUUGGAGUACAGUUGGUGCAUGAUUCUAGAGGGUUGAUGUGGUUAUGUCAGUUGGACAUCGAUCUUUAGUAUUGAUUAUUUGAGGGCUUGAGAGCACGAUGUAUGAGACCGUGGUCGUAGGAUGGGUGGCCUU
This 269-nucleotide long non-coding RNA is filed under the name Vitis vinifera (wine grape). RNAcentral describes it as "long non-coding RNA (VVIN_LNC000589)". Lineage: Eukaryota; Viridiplantae; Streptophyta; Magnoliopsida; Vitales; Vitaceae. The record is from RNAcentral.